Molecule: ribosomal RNA, 406 nt
Filed under: uncultured bacterium
Lineage: Bacteria
Description: partial 16S ribosomal RNA
Rfam family: Bacterial small subunit ribosomal RNA
Source: RNAcentral
AUUGAACGCUGGCGGCAGGCUUAACACAUGCAAGUCGAACGAGUGGCGGACGGGUGAGUAAUGCUUGGGAAUCUAGCUUAUGGAGGGGGAUAACUACGGGAAACUGUGGCUAAUACCGCAUACUAUCGGAUGAACCCAUAUGGGAUUAGCUAGUAGGUGGGGUAAAGGCUCACCUAGGCGACGAUCUCUAGCUGGUCUGAGAGGAUGAUCAGCCACACUGGGACUGAGACACGGCCCAGACUCCUACGGGAGGCAGCAGUGGGGAAUAUUGCACAAUGGGCGCAAGCCUGAUGCAGCCAUGCCGCGUGUAUGAAGAAGGCCUUAGGGUUGUAAAGUACUUUCGGUAGCGAGGCGUUAACUACAGAAGAAGCACCGGCUAACUCCGUGCCAGCAGCCGCGGUAAUAC